Molecule: ribosomal RNA, 465 nt
Filed under: uncultured bacterium
Lineage: Bacteria
Description: partial 16S ribosomal RNA
Rfam family: Bacterial small subunit ribosomal RNA
Source: RNAcentral
GACGAACGCUGGCGGCGUGCUUAACACAUGCAAGUCGAACGGAAAGGCCCUGCUUGCAGGGUACUCGAGUGGCGAACGGGUGAGUAACACGUGGGUGAUCUGCCCUGCACUUCGGGAUAAGCCUGGGAAACUGGGUCUAAUACCGGAUAGGAGCCAUUUUUAGUGUGAUGGUUGGAAAGUUUUUUCGGUGUAGGAUGAGCUCGCGGCCUAUCAGCUUGUUGGUGGGGGAAUGGCCUACCAAGGCGGCGACGGGUAGCCGGCCUGAGAGGGUGGACGGCCACAUUGGGACUAAGAUACGGCCCAGACUCCUACGGGAGGCAGCAGUGGGGAAUAUUGCACAAUGGGCGCAAGCCUGAUGCAGCGACGCCGCGUGGGGGAUGACGGCCUUCGGGUUGUAAACUCCUUUCGCUAGGGACGAAGCUUUUUGUGACGGUACCUAGAGAAGAAGCACCGGCUAACUACGUG